GCAUAUCAAUAAGCGGAGGAAAAGAAACCAACAGGGAUUGCCCUAGUAACGGCGAGUGAAGCGGCAACAGCUCAAAUUUGAAAUCUGGCUCUUUUAGAGUCCGAGUUGUAAUUUGCAGAGGGCGCUUUGGCUUUGGCAGCGGUCCAAGUUCCUUGGAACAGGACGUCACAGAGGGUGAGAAUCCCGUACGUGGUCGCUGGCUAUUGCCGUGUAAAGCCCCUUCGACGAGUCGAGUUGUUUGGGAAUGCAGCUCUAAAUGGGAGGUACAUUUCUUCUAAAGCUAAAUAUUGGCCAGAGACCGAUAGCGCACAAGUAGAGUGAUCGAAAGAUGAAAAGCACUUUGGAAAGAGAGUCAAACAGCACGUGAAAUUGUUGAAAGGGAAGCGCUUGCAGCCAGACUUGCUUGCAGUUGCUCAUCCGGGCUUUUGCCCGGUGCACUCUUCUGUAGGCAGGCCAGCAUCAGUUUGGGCGGUGGGAUAAAGGUCUCUGUCACGUACCUCUCUUCGGGGAGGCCUUAUAGGGGAGACGACAUACCACCAGCCUGGACUGAGGUCCGCGCAUCUGCUAGGAUGCUGGCGUAAUGGCUGUAAGCGGCCCGUCUUGAAACACGGACCAAGGAGUCUAACAUCUAUGCGAGUGUUUGGGUGUCAAGCCCGAGCGCGUAAUGAAAGUGAACGGAGGUGGGAACCCGCAAGGGUGCACCAUCGACCGAUCCUGAUGUCUUCGGAAGGAUUUGAGUAAGAGCAUGGCUGUUGGGACCCGAAAGAUGGUGAACUAUGCUUGAAUAGGGUGAAGCCAGAGGAAACUCUGGUGGAGGCUCGCAGCGGUUCUGACGUGCAAAUCGAUCGUCAAAUUUGGGCAUAGGGGCGAAAGACUAAUCGAACUAUCUAGUAGCUGGUUCCUGCA
RNAcentral lists this ribosomal RNA (906 nucleotides) under Alternaria penicillata. RNAcentral's name for it is "LSU rRNA". It matches the Rfam family "Eukaryotic large subunit ribosomal RNA", at positions 38 to 962 of the family's 3401-position model. Lineage: Eukaryota; Fungi; Ascomycota; Dothideomycetes; Pleosporales; Pleosporaceae. The record is from RNAcentral.